GCCUGGGUGGCUCAGUCGGUUGAGCGCCUGACUCCUGAUCUCAGCUCAGAUCUUGGUCUCAGGGUUGUGGGUUCAGGCCCCACAUUGGGCU
Non-coding RNA from Ailuropoda melanoleuca (giant panda), 91 nucleotides. The record is from Rfam. Lineage: Eukaryota; Metazoa; Chordata; Mammalia; Carnivora; Ursidae.